Long non-coding RNA from Mauremys mutica (yellowpond turtle), 1217 nucleotides. RefSeq lists it as uncharacterized. The transcript is spliced from 3 exons. Lineage: Eukaryota; Metazoa; Chordata; Testudines; Geoemydidae. The record is from RefSeq and is a predicted model, not a curated record.
CUGACGUUACCAGUAGAAGACCAUGAAUAAAGAAGUAUAAAAAUCUAACAAAACACCACAAAUAAAUUGUAAGACUCCAGGUUUUUCCUAAAUAUCUUUAGUUUCAAAUAUGCACUAUACAUUUUUGUUGCCACAGUUAUUUGGCUAGACCUGCAUCUACCAUCUGAGAAUAAUAUGAUCAUACUAAAUUCAUGUAACUAAAAAGUGAACCCAUCACACAUCAGCAUGUUUUCUCAAUAUACAGUGUCAUGGAUCUGCAAUUCUCCAUGAAGUCAAUGGAAGAAAACAGGACCAAUGGUGUCAUAAAUUUGGAGUGAUAUGCUACCAGCCUCCUAAGCUUUGGUGAGAUGGCGUUUCACUUACAGGAGGGCUUCUCAACUGGUGCGUUGCUAUGCCCACGGAAUCAUUGGCAUGAUGUCUGGAGUGGCUCACAACCAUGAGUGCCUACCUCAGAGUAGAGUGUCAAACACAGAGCAGACACCCCAAAAUGGUGAUAUUUUCCCAUAUGUGAACUCCCCAGUACUGUACGUGAACUCCCAAAAUACUACAAUAGUCUUGUAAGUCACAGAUAGACUGGAGUGUCUAAGAGGACCAGCUUGCCACCCAGACAAGCUGGACUAUGUGACAAAUGGUCAUUUACAUAAAAAAUAAUCACAAAUAGUCCCAAAAGACCAGUCACUCACCCAGGGCAAGUGGCAUCCUAAAUUUCACACCGAAGACAGACCUGGUAACCAAUUCUUUUGUAAACUAACUUAAAAGUUUAUUAGCUAAGAAAAGAAAUAUGAGUUAUUGAGAGGUUAAAGCAGAUAAAAUCAUGCACAGGUGAGUCACAGUCUAUAAUUCCAAAUGGUAGCAGAGAUGUAGUAAUCUGGCCAGUUUCCCAAAAGUCUCUCAGAGCUACCCAAAGUAACUCUGGGGAUCUCCAUCUUCUCAUUCAGUUAUUCUGCCCUAUUAGAAUCCAAACAGUCCACAGAUGAAGAUUUUUUUCCCCUUGUGUCCAUAUUUAUAGCUUCUCACAGAAAAGCAGCUGACAAAACAAGCUACCCACAUGAGCUCUUUGUUUGAUUGGUGGAGAGAGAGGAGCACAUUUGGAGUCUGAUCUCUGACCAUCACACAGAAUGACAGCUUGCCUUCAAAUGUGCAAGAAUUAGCACUUUCCUGUUAAAGUUCUUCAUUUGCAUUACACAAGGCUUCUUUCUCAUUUGAUGAGUUAUUUA